UGUUAGGUCAAGGUGCAGUUUAAAAAAGAAAAUUAUGGGUUACAUUAAAAAUAAUGAAUGAAUUUUAUUUUUUUUUAAAUAGAUGAAUUAGAAUUUAAUAGUAAAUUUAUUAUAAAGUAAUAUAAUGAAUAAAGAUUCUGAAAUAUGUACAUAUUGCCCGUCGCUCUUAUUUUAUAAUAAGAUAAGUCGUAACAUAGUAAGUGUACCGGAAGGUGUACUUGAAUUUUUUUGAAUGAAUAGCUUAAUUUAAAGUUUAUUAGUUACAUUAAUAAGAUACUUAAAAGGUUUUAUUUAUAGUAAUUAAUUUUUUAAUGUAAAAUUGUAAAAAGGGGAUUUAUAAUUUAUAUUAGAAAAUUAAUUAUUGUACCUUUNNNNNNNNUUAAUUAAAAUUAAUUUCACAUGAAUUUUUUUCGAAAAAAAAAGAUUUAAAUAUAAAAUUUAUUUAAUGUUAUAUAAUUAUUUUUAWAUUUAUAUUUAGUAUUGAGAUUAUUCACGAUUUUUUAUAUCUAAUUACUUUAUAAUUAAUAAAAUUAAUUUAAAUUUUGUUUAUUAAAAAUUUAAAAAAAUAUUUAGGGGUAAGCUUAAAUUUAAUUUAUAGAUAAUUUAAAUUUUAAAAAUUGAGUUAUUAAAAUUGAAAUUUUUAGUAUUUAAUAUUUAAAAAUUAAUCAGUUUAAAAUUAAUAUUUUAUAUUUUCUUUAAGGGGGAGUUAAAGUUAAAUAAUAAAAUUAUAUUAAUUUUUAAAAUAAUGAUUAAAUUAGUAGAUUUUAAUAUUAAUUUAUAAGAAUUUGGCAAAUUUAAAAUUUCGUCUGUUUAUCAAAAACAUUUUUAUAAGAAAAUAAAAUUUAUAAUAGUACCUGCUCAAU
This 863-nucleotide ribosomal RNA is filed under the name Paurocephala cf. bifasciata LSPaubif-1. RNAcentral describes it as "partial small subunit ribosomal RNA". Lineage: Eukaryota; Metazoa; Arthropoda; Insecta; Hemiptera; Liviidae. The record is from RNAcentral.